Molecule: ribosomal RNA, 253 nt
Filed under: uncultured bacterium
Lineage: Bacteria
Description: partial 16S ribosomal RNA
Rfam family: Bacterial small subunit ribosomal RNA
Source: RNAcentral
UACGUAGGGUGCAAGCGUUAAUCGGAAUUACUGGGCGUAAAGCGUGCGCAGGCGGUUUUGUAAGUCAGAUGUGAAAUCCCCGGGCUUAACCUGGGAACUGCGUUUGAAACUACAAGGCUAGAGUGUAGCAGAGGGGGGUAGAAUUCCACGUGUAGCAGUGAAAUGCGUAGAGAUGUGGAGGAAUACCAAUGGCGAAGGCAGCCCCCUGGGUUAACACUGACGCUCAUGCACGAAAGCGUGGGGAGCAAACAGG